UUCCUUGUUUCCAGCCAUCAAAGUGGGAUCAUCAGCAUAUCUGAGGUUGAGCAGCUGCAGAGAAGGCCUAUCUCCAAGGUCCCAUCAAAUGACAUUGCAUUAUCAAUGGGACCUGGAGAUCUUAUAAGGUGAGCAGAAACCAUUGGAGAAAGUCAGUCCCAUAGAUACCCGGGCCUUGAGUCAUGAAGUGGUUUGUAUGCUUAUAAUGGUGGAUUGGUGUGAAUGGUGUCAAAACUAAAAGUGUGCCAGAAUAUGCAGAUAAAUCACAAUAAAAUGAUUGCCUGAAGAAGCAACCAGAAAAGAACAAUUUAUGAAGAAGAAAAGGCAUAAAAAUGACUUAAGAUGAAGGGGAGAUUACAGAUGUUCUUUUCUUAAAUCAGAGGUGAGAAUUUUUGGUGCAUUGAAGUUGCUGACACACCGUCUUUCAUAA
Candoia aspera is the source of this 430-nucleotide long non-coding RNA. RefSeq lists it as uncharacterized. NCBI's taxonomy places the organism in Eukaryota, Metazoa, Chordata, Lepidosauria, Squamata, Candoiidae. The transcript has 3 exons. The record is from RefSeq and is a predicted model, not a curated record.